This 306-nucleotide unclassified non-coding RNA is filed under the name Hevea brasiliensis (rubber tree). The record is from RNAcentral. Lineage: Eukaryota; Viridiplantae; Streptophyta; Magnoliopsida; Malpighiales; Euphorbiaceae.
AUGAGAACCAUAAUUAAGUGAUACAAAUGCACUUUCAUAUAGAAGAUAUUCUUCCAUAAGAGUAAAGUAAGAUAAAGGAUACGCCUGAAAGAAAACAAUUCCAGGUAUGUAAAUCUGUUGUUGAGUUGACAACUGAUAAUAACAUCCGAAAGCAUAAGACAAAAUUGUGAAAUUGAUGGGUAAAAGGUUGUAUAAGAAAAUAACAUUCCACAAUGUAACUUCAUGAAAUGUAUAUAAUCAGUCCUAUAAGCAAAGUGUGCCUGUUGCUUGCUACUUGCUAGAAGAAGAGCAUCCAAAAACUUAAAG